Molecule: long non-coding RNA, 800 nt
Organism: Macrobrachium nipponense
Lineage: Eukaryota; Metazoa; Arthropoda; Malacostraca; Decapoda; Palaemonidae
Exons: 3
Source: RefSeq, a predicted model, not a curated record
AUAACUAAAUAUCUCCCAGUGGCGCUUGUCUACACAAAUAACCGCUGAAUAUUUACAGAGUGCUUCGCCUAAUAUAAAAACCACGUCAGUCAUCUUGAUGAGUCGGCGUUGGGGUCGUUUUCUCGAUCAAUGAUUGGUUCCUUUGGACGACGAUUCGACAAAGUCCUCGUCAAACGCUGCGUCAAAUAGCCCGAAGAGGUUGAGUAGAGAAUAUCGAAGGGGCUGGCGGUAAUUACAGGAAGCCGACGGAAUUCUUUGUUCGCCUGUACGUUUUUCAGUUGCGUUCUACACUUUUUCGAAGAGACAGAAAUGUCUGUAUCUCCCACCUCCCUUGUACAAUAAAAAUAGGGUAGAAUUAACAUGAGAUUGUCUUACAGGCAUUGCCCUUUCUUUCUUUCUUAGCUGCCCCCCACCCAAAUAAACAAAAAGUCUUCUAAUGUCGAAGGAACUGAGAGACAAGGAUCUGUCCUAAUUGUCAAGUGUGCCUUGGAUAUCAGAUACGAACACAGCUCGUGGGGUUUCUGGAAAUGAAAAGGAAAUGACGCCUGUCAUGAUGCUGACACAAAUCGUAGUCGUCCUCGUUUUCCUUCGAGUAGAACCCAUCAGCAGCCUGACAGUGGUAAGGUUCCAGGAAGACCGGCUGCCCAGAACAGACACGACCGCCAUUUACAAAGGCCAACUGGACCGAGGCAGGAAGAUGGACUCUGUCACCCUCUGUGCACGAUUCCAGUUCUUCAUCCUUCACGGAUGGGCAACUUUCUUCCACCUUCGAGAUACGCAGGGAAGGAUUAUGAUGCUGA